GUUUGGCAUUAACAAGUAUGUUACAACAAAUUCAGUAUAGAGAACUGGUACCAUAGAACUUGUGAAUGAUGAUUCACUUAUAUAUGUAUCCCCUAUAUAUAUAUAUAUAUAUAUAUAUAUAUAUAUAUAUAUAUAUAUAUAUAUAUAUAGGUAGACAGCACUCCUCUAUUGCAUUAAUAUUACAUUCUGGCUAUUUUGAGGUUUAUUUCAAGUGCUUCUUCUGUUACCUCCUGCCUUUACGCGGGUAUUUUCUAUGUUAAUGUUCUUUCUCUUCAUACUGUACCUUCAUCCAGUAAUCAGCUCACUUGGGUUUGUGUCCUUCUCUUCCCUUAGAUACAUGUUUACUUUUCUCUGCUAUUAGGAGUCCUUGACAUGCAUGGGCUGUGCUGACCCCAGGAAAAAUGACUUGUCCUUGGUUCCCUUUCUGCCUUUGUGUGAUGGAGUCUUGCUCUGUUUCCCAGCCUGGAGUGCAAUGGCACAAUCUCGGCUCACUGCAACUCUGCCUCCCAGGUUCAAGUGAUUCUCCUGCCUCAGCCUCCCGAGAAGCUGGGAUUACAGAUGCCCACCACUAUGCUCAGCUAAUUUUUUUGUAUUUUUAGUAGAUAUGGGGUUUCACCAUGUUGGCUAGGCUGGUCUCAAACUCCUGACCUCAAGUGAUCCACCCACCUUGGCCUCCCAAAUGCUGGGAUUACAGGCAUGAGCCACUUUGCCUGGCCAGGUUCAAUGUUUUUGUCCCAUGAUAAUCAAAAAUAUUUGAAGAUGAUGUAAGGGAUGAGAAGCAAUUAGCCAUGUGACAAGUAGAGAAAUAGACAAUUUGGGCAGAUGGAAUAGUAUCUGCAAAGGCCUGUUUGAAGAACUGAGGAAAAUCCAAUAUAGCUGGGGUGUGUACUGUGGAGAGGAAAAGUAAUGUGAGAUGAAAUGGAGUGACAGGCAAGGGCAAGUUCACAGAGGACCCUGGAGUACAGUAAAAGAUUUAUACUUUAGUGAAAUUACCAAGACCUUUAAGUGUUUAAAGCAGUGAUGGAAUGAUGAAAUUUAAAUCUAAGUUUAAAAAAAAAAUGUAUUUGGCUGUUAUUGGAUGAUGAAAUCAUGCUGGGUAGACAUGGAAGAGAAGCAACCAGUUAGGAGGCUGGUACAGUAAUUCAAGCAAGAGAUUAUUGUGUCAUAAACAAAUGUAGUGACAGUAUAGAUAAAGAGAAGCAGAUAGAUUUUAAAAACAUGUUGGGUACUCACUCAACAGUACUUGCAGAUGGAUGGAAUGAGAGUGGGAGGUUGAUGAAGAGAAUGAAGAAAUUAGGAAAAUUUUCCAGGUUUCUUGCUUGAACAACAUAGUGUAAGUUGGUAUUAUUUAUUAAGAAGGGGAGUGGAUUUGAUGAUAGAAUCAAGAUUUCUGUUAUAGGAAUAUUAAGUUUGGCAUUUCUGUGAGAAAUUUAAGAGAUGAUGGUAAUCAGGUGGUUGGUUGUACAUGUGUGGAACUCACAAGAGAAAUACCAUUGGCUGUCCUUAGCUGUUAGUACCUUCAAGGUAAGAUCUAACAUCUCUAAAGCCUUAGGACUUAGUACAGUGAUAGGUGCUGAGAAAAUGUCUGUUGAAUCCAGGAGUUUGGGAGAAAGGGAGUAAAGGGAAGAACACUUGACUGGAACUUGUAGGUUAAGGUGGCAGCCAUUGUCCCGGCACAUACUAGACAUAGACCUCCCGUGGCUAAUGGUAUAGUCAUUCUCAACUGAAAAGGAGCAAUUAGGUAUGUUAAAGUCAAUGACAAAAGAAAAGUGCCUCAAUCAGUUCUGGGACCAGCUCUGAAAAAUCCUGAGGCAAAAGUAGAGUUGCUCCUUGGAUCAGCCCCUUGGCCUUUUAUCUUUGUUCUGGAAAUUGGGGUUGCCAAAAUAGAACAUUCGACAGAACAAUGAAGGAGUAAAUCCAUUUGUUAUUUUUGCUACAGUUUGAAUAUCAACUGAAAAAAAAUUAAGAUUCAUUAGAAAAUUUAAGGAAGUGAUUGAAUAUAAGAUAAAUUUUGAAAAUUCAAUAAUUUCCCUAUAUAAUAAACAGUAUUAAUUAGAAACAUAAAUACAAAAAGUAUUCAAUUCAUCAUGAGCCUCCCCUGCCAUAAAACAUCCUAAGACUAAUCUUCAUGAAAAAUGUUUAGGAAUAAAGUAAACAAAACCUAUAAAACUACACUUAGAAAUAUAAAUUAAGAUUUAAAUAAUAGGGAGGCAGAUUGUCUUCCUAUACUAUCAUUAUCUUAAGUAUUUCAAGACUAUAAAUUCUUCCAAAUUUUGGUAUAGGACUAAGAAAAUGACAAUCAAAAUCACAAUGGAGUUAUUUUUGGAACUUGGCGAAAUCACUCAAAAGUUUAU
Molecule: long non-coding RNA, 2354 nt
Organism: Papio anubis (olive baboon)
Lineage: Eukaryota; Metazoa; Chordata; Mammalia; Primates; Cercopithecidae
Source: Ensembl